RNAcentral lists this ribosomal RNA (396 nucleotides) under uncultured bacterium. Its description in RNAcentral is "partial 16S ribosomal RNA". It matches the Rfam family "Bacterial small subunit ribosomal RNA", at positions 523 to 918 of the family's 1533-position model. The record is from RNAcentral.
AUACGUAGGGAGCGAGCGUUGUCCGGAAUUACUGGGUGUAAAGGGAGCGUAGGCGGGAGUGCAAGUCAGAUGUGAAAUACAUGGGCUCAACCCAUGGGCUGCAUUUGAAACUGCAUUUCUUGAGUGAAGUAGAGGUAAGCGGAAUUCCAGGUGUAGCGGUGAAAUGCGUAGAUAUCAGGAGGAACACCGGUGGCGAAGGCGGCUUACUGGGCUUUUAACGACGCUUAGGCUCGAAAGCGUGGGGAGCAAAUAGGAUUAGAUACCCUGGUAGUCCACGCUGUAAACGAUGAUUACUAGGUGUGGGGGGACUGACCCCUUCCGUGCCGCAGUUAACACAAUAAGUAAUCUACCUGGGGAGUUCGGCCGCAAGGUUGAAACUUAAAGGAAUUGACGGGG